AUUGAACGCUGGCGGCAGGCUUAACACAUGCAAGUCGAGCGAGCGGCGGACGGGUGAGUAAUGUCUGGGAAACUGCCUGAUGGAGGGGGAUAACUACUGGAAACGGUAGCUAAUACCGCAUACCAUCAGAUGUGCCCAGAUGGGAUUAGCUAGUUGGUGGGGUAAUGGCUCACCUCGGCGACGAUCCCUAGCUGGUCUGAGAGGAUGACCAGCCACACUGGAACUGAGAAACGGUCCACACUCCUACGCGAGUCAGCAGUGGGGAAUAUUGCGCAAUGGGCGCAAGCCUGAUGCAGCCAUGCCGCGUGUGUGAAGAAGGCCUUCGGGUUGUAAAGCUCUUGCAGCGAGGAGGCGUUACUCGCAGAAGAAGCACCGGCUAACUCCGUGCCAGCAGCCGCGGUAAUAC
This 406-nucleotide ribosomal RNA is filed under the name uncultured bacterium. Its description in RNAcentral is "partial 16S ribosomal RNA". It matches the Rfam family "Bacterial small subunit ribosomal RNA", at positions 30 to 526 of the family's 1533-position model. The record is from RNAcentral.